RNAcentral lists this ribosomal RNA (460 nucleotides) under uncultured bacterium. RNAcentral's name for it is "partial 16S ribosomal RNA". It matches the Rfam family "Bacterial small subunit ribosomal RNA", at positions 338 to 795 of the family's 1533-position model. The record is from RNAcentral.
CCUACGGGCGGCAGCAGUGAGGAAUAUUGGUCAAUGGACGAGAGUCUGAACCAGCCAAGUAGCGUGAAGGAUGACUGUCCUAUGGGUUGUAAACCUCUUUUAUAAAGGAAUAAAACGAGGCACGUGUGCGUUUUGGCAUGUACUUGAUGAAUAAGGAUCGGCUAACUCCGUGCCAGCAGCCGCGGUAAUACGGAGGAUCCGAGCGUUAUCCGGAUUUAUUGGGUUUAAAGGGUGCGUAGAUGGGUUGUUAAGUCAGUUGUGAAAAUUUGCGGCUCAACCGUAAAAUUGCAGUUGAUACUGGCAGUCUUGAGUACAGUUGAGGUAGGCGGAAUUCGUGGUGUAGCGGUGAAAUGCUUAGAUAUCACGCAGAACCCCGAUUGCGAAGGCAGCUUACUAAACUGUGACUGACAUUGAUGCUCGAAAGUGUGGGUAUCGAACAGGAUUAGAUACCCUAGUAGUC